GCUAAGUCAAGCGGUAGAAGUGAGGAAACAAAUAGAAAGUGGCUUGCUAAGUUGGGCGGUGGCCGAGUGGAGAAGCGAGGCUUCAAUUCUUUUCUUACCAACCAAACACCAAGAGCAAAACUGAGAGACUAAGCCAUUUCUUUUCAUCUCAAGGCACAACCGAGAGAGAGGAAAAUAUUUCUGGUUCCUCCUUGUUCCAGUUUUCAACCGAGAGAGUGAGGGAGAGAGUUAGACAUUUGCUAGCUUUAUUUCUCCAGCUUGGAACCUCAAAACUCUGAGCCAAAGUGAGUGAGAGGGAGAAAAAUCCUGGUGGUAUACUUCACCUAACGGCCUCAACCGAAUGAGAGUGAAGUAGAUUGAAGAAAGAGUGAGAGUUGGUGCAAUUUUGAGGAACCGAAGCUCAACUUGGAGCCGUCUGCACUUGCUGAAUUCUAGAGGAAAGGAGUUCUUGUCCUUAGUUUAGCUACCCGAGAGACAUUAGGAGGAAAAGGAGAGAAGGACCAAAAGAAAGAAACAACAACAACAACUAGGAACUCAUUUCUGGCCACCUUCAACCGUGAGAACCAGCCACAAAGAAAGCAGGAAUGCAGUCUAUUGAGCUAAGAAUGGGAGAGAAAAACCAGAAUUUUAUUUUCCUAACUUAGAACCAUAAGAACCAGAGGUAAACUACUAUCUUUCUCUUCCAUUUCUUCUACGUUUAGCUAGUAGUCUUUUAGAAUGAAUUGAAACCAAGUAAAAGAAAAUUUUCUAGAAAACAAAGGUUGUCAAAGCUGGAAAUGUUCGUUUGAAGCUGCAUGUUCUCACUCUAAUGUUUAUAUGAUUGCAAGUUAGAUUUGAGUGUAAAAUGAAGAGAUUAUUAGAGGAAAUUUCAUACUUUUAAACUGCUAGCUGCUGAAACUCCUUCAUCUUGGCCGAGAGAACAAAAGAGAGUAUUCUCCAACUUUUCUCUUCAAACCUUGGCUAUAAAUUCUAUAUUGUGAUUCAAAACACCUCAUAGAAUAAUAAUUAUCACCUGGAUAUUAAGUUUGAAUGAGGAAAAUAAAGAAUUUUAUGGAGAAAACUUGUUUUCCAAACUACCUACUUGCUGGAAUUUUUCAACCUCAGCCGAGAGAGAUGGAAGGGAUAUUUUCUGAUAUUUCUCUAUAGAUUUUGGGCUGUAAACUUUCAUAUUAAGGUUGAUUACACCUUAUAAUAUCAUUAGAUGGUCAUGUAUGUGAAUUUUGGGGUGAAAAUGUGAUUUUUUAUGGCUGGAUUGUUGUUUGAAAGACUGUUAGGCUAAUAAACCAUUUACAGUUUAGUCAACGGAAUUUCUUGGCUUUGAAUGGAUAUUUUAGUAUAAAAUUUGCUGGAAAUGCUUGAUUUGUACUUGUUGCUGUGUUAUGAGUUUGUUGGUGAGUGAUUGGUGGAUGGAAAUAAAAUCUAAAUAGUUAAAAUGGAAGGGAAAGUUUGCUAUACCACCUACAGGAAUCAAAGGAGCCUUGUAACUUAUAUAAGAAGAUAUCCAUUUAUUACUUGGUUUAAUAGGCUCUAUAUAAAUUGUAUACACAUCUUAAGGUAAUAAACUAGUUAUGCAUGUGGUCUUGGUUAAUAACAGAAGGAAUUAUGUGACAAGAAAGUACUUUAAGGUUAGCUACUUCUAAACUUACCUUGUUAAACGUUAAUGUUGAGUUUUAGUACGAUAAAUCUAACAGUAUAAAAGUAGUGAAGUGACAUUACUGGAAUUGCUACUUAAACUUCCUUUCUUUUGGAAAUUAAAAGUUGAAGUAACAAGCGAGUGUGAGAAAAUGCACUAGUCAUCUCAUUUAAACAUAGCAAUGACUUAGAUUUCGGGUGGAAUGGUGACUUAAGGCUAGAAUACAACACGUAUGUUGAUUAUACUUUAGAAUUUCACCAAAUGAGUAGUUAAAUAAUUAUGGCAAUUAUAACUUGUCUCAGGAGACAGCGGUGCGCAAGAAAGCAAUUCUAAGAUCGAAGUGUAACUUUUGAUUAGGGUGAGUGUUUAAGAAUUUAUAUAUUUAACUGUUUAUGUUUAUUUAAGUGAAAUUAUGUGAUAAAUGUGCUUAUUAUGUAUAUUGCCAGUGAUUUAUUGUAAAGUGUAUCUCAAUUGUCCCUCGCCUUCUAAGUCGAGGGUGUACUUUAUCGCACUCGACUUAGUUGAACUUGAAGGUUGAUUAUUGACUAAAUGUUACUGUAAGUAUGUAUGAAUGUAAGCCGUAUGUGUACUUUAUCGCAUCGGCUGAACUGAGCCUCAAAACCCUCUGUUCAACAGAUUAUUCGAGCCAGCAAAGGGCUUGUUGGAUAGGACGGAAGCUUUGGGUAACUGUUUGGUAUACUCGGGUAUUACCCUGAAGUUGGGAGAUUAUUGAACUGAUUGCUGAAUGUAGGGGAUUGAUUAUUGUUUUGGAGGACAUAAGGAGGUGGAUUGGCGGAGUGUGCAAUAAUAUUGAAAUGAAUGUACAAUGACACUGAAAUGAGUGUGCAAUGAUAUUGAAAUGACACUGAAUUACUGAACGGAACUAAGUGCUACGUCUGGAACGAACGGGAACCACCUCUAGAGUCCGUAUCAAUACCGUAUCCUUUGAGGUGAUUGAUUACUUUUAUUAAAUUUGAUAUCCUGAAUUGUUAAGUUUGGUGAAUGUUUUAUACUGCUAAUUGGUUGUUGUAUCCUUUUGAAAGUGACAAUACAGUGAAAUGUGCAUUACUUGCUUAAUUUUACUAGUUAAGUGUUUAUUGAAUGUUACUUGUUCGGCAAACCUCACUAAGUUUUAGCUCAACCUUUUAGUUUUGUUUUCCUUACAAGAAUUGGUGGUCAGGGAAUGAACAAGGGAUCUUAAGGAGUUAACGUGAAGAAUUUUGUGAAUGUAAAUCCUUUAACAUCAAAUUAUGGUUGAGGCUAUUAUAUUGAACUUGGUAUUGUAAAAGAUUUGAGUAUUUGGUUUUGGUUUAUCGAAAUGUUAUCUCUGAAAUUAAUGUAAGUGAGUGAGUCCUGGCGAGAGUCAGGCAGAUGGUCCGCUAACUUCUAGGGUAUGCUCUAGGAGAAGGUGUGACGACCCCACCUCCCCUAAGGCGUACCAAAGGGUUCGGCGGACCGCCUGCCCAACUCUCGCCAGGACUCACUCACUCGUGUCUUACGCAUACAUCCAUAGACAAGAAAUAACAUUGCAAUUCAAACUUGUAAUAUACAUCGAUGCACAAACCCAGAUACAAGACAUCUAUACAUCCAAAAUACUUAAAAGUGUAUACAAUACAAGUACAACGCAUUCUAAGCGAAUGAUAGCGUGAGUACAACUCGAAAGUCAAAACAAUUAGUCUAAACUAGUCUGUACACGUCUCACGCCUCGCUCGUACCCCUGUAAGGAAAACAAAACUAAAGGAGGUUCCAAAUAUCAAAUUGUCCAGCAAAUAAAGUAACAGUGGCAUAAUGGUGAAAUAGCGAGCAAAACAAGUCAAGAAAUGAGUAAUAACACUUCAUAUAGCUAGACACGUAAUUUUUCCGCAUUUCACAUAUAAGAAUACAGUUGCUCAUAUAUCGACUCCACCAUAGCUUGAUCAAUUGGUAGUUGGCACUCCGUCAACUUUCAAGUGAGAAACUAGUCCAGUAGGUCACCACUUCACUCCAAUCUCCGUCCACCGAUCAAACCUCUUACUGGGCUCGAACUCCACAAUAAACACUGGUGGUAAUACUCGAGUAUACCGAUUAGUCGAGGAGAUAACACUCCACUCGACAACACUAGAUACCCAUGGUUCGUUAUCUAAUCGACCAAACCCUUGCCGGCUCGACUCGAUUAACUAGCCAAUGGGGUUUGGAUCCCCAAAAAAUCGAUGAGAUAACACUCCAAUCGAUUGAAUCAAGAUAAAAGUAUGGAGACGGGAAUGAGAGGUACCUCCCACUCGGAUCGAGUGUGGUACAUACUGCCGCUCAGUACUUACAAGUCACACACAAAUAUCUCAAAUCAAUUGCAACAAUAAACAAGUACAUAUCACGUUAGGGCAAGUGCGAUAAAGUACACCCUUGCCCGAUCAUACCAAUCACAUAUCAUUCGAUCACAUUGGUCAAGUAUUAAAAACAAGUAUCCAGUUCAAUCAGGUAUUUGGAAGUACUCACCAAAGAUGUAGUGCCUUUACGGAUCACGGUCAGGUAUUACUCCUUGUGUGGAGUUCAACUCUGCGAUAAAAUGUCAUUUAAGAACUUGAAAUCAAUUAGGGUUCAAGUUUUUUUUAAAGAAAAUCAAGUAAUUGAAACUCAUUUGGGGAAUAUUCGUAAAACUCAUGCUCGCUCUUAAAACUUUGAAAAUUUGAAGCGAUUAAACUUUGAAAUUCCCAUUUGAGUCGAAGAGAGGAGAAAAACGUAUUUCUAUUAGUCGUUACUUUUAUUUUUUCAAGGUUACAAGGUUCGGUCGAAUUCUAACUUAUAUACCACUAUGAGCGAAGACUUGAAUACCCUAGAUGAUUCGAGUUCAAUUCGACCUCAAAUCUUCGCUCAAACUGCGAGUAUACACGUCUCACUUUCGAGUGAAAAUUUGGGCAGCAUACCCCUUUGUAUUUAGCUAUUUUCCAGUCAUUUAUGGCUUCAUUAUUGUUCUCAAUUCAGCCCUAAAAUCACACGCAAAUAAUCUUACCACAAUAGCCUUUCACUAGGCUCAAUGUCAUCCACACACAAGACAAUUUUAGCAUGUAAGCUUCACUUGGAAAUUCGGAAAUGGUGGCCAAAAGCUAAGUACAAGUCUUGACCGCUUUAAUUAAGGUAACUUGUUAAAAGAGUAAAACUUUGAGGAAAUGAGAGAUACAUUAGCGAGAGAAGUUCAAUAGGGAUAUAUUUGAUGUCAAGGAAGUGGAAAAAUCAAGGUGAGGGGUUGGAAGUAGGCCGUCUGAGGUUUUAAAGUCAAGAAGCCCGUUUCUAUACUUCAGGAAUCUACUGAGAUGAAUAGUAACAGUAAACUUUAAAAAUUCGCAACUCGAGUUCCACAAAUCAAACAAUUAUCAAAGUUAUACUGUUGUAAAAUAGAUUUUUAGUACUAUCACAUCCCAGAAGACACUUUUCAGAGAUUCAAAUCACAAAUAGGCCAAAUAUUCGAUCCAAGUCAAAAAUUCAUUUUCCUGAAGAAACAGGACAUUCAAGCAGGACAGCCUACUUUGAGGAGUCACGGACAGCAGUACACAUGGAGGAAAAAUAUGAAAUUUUUACAAAACAAAGGCCCAUGAUUCUAGUUGCAAAUGCCACUGAUGACACCUCAAUCGGAUUUUUCUACACCAAGAUAUAAGCAUUUUACUGAGACUGGUCAGUGAAAUCCGAAAAUCUGGAAACUCAUUUUUCACUUGUGAAAAACUCCUUUUUCUCUUUUAAAACCACAAGACUUUUAUUCAAACCACCCAUACAUUUAAGUAUGACAUUCAUACCAGCAGUUUUAACAUAAUUUAAGCAUCAAAUUUCAACAGAAACCAAAGAAAUAUACAUAUAUUCCAAGUUUAAAGUCUUGUAAGAUGUUUAUACUAAGAUUAAAUCAUUUUCUAUCCAAUAUUCAAGGAUUAAGGCAAAUGAACUCUUCAUUUGUUCCAUUUAAGCUAAACCAGAUUCUAAGUUGUUUGUAGUUUGGGUUUUGUUCCACUACACCAGCCCCUCACAUUAAUAGUCUUUAAAAUAUUAAUGAACACAAUAUUAAAUCAUUAGAAGCCACUUUACGUAUAUAACUAUCAUAACUUUCCACUCAAUCGUGUUGGUUUAACCCUACUCGUGGAACUAGGUAUAUCCAUUAAAUCUGAGAACAAUCGUAGCUAUCAUUUAUGAAAGCUUGCAAGAUUGGAAAUUAGAAGAAAUGUUAGUUAAAAGUUGGUUUCCUCAGGGCCAUCAUCAAAACUGCAUGCAUGUGAAACAAAAGGAAAGGCAACGAGGAAGUCAGCUUUGCCAUCCUCUGGUAUUUCAAUCAUAACUAGAGCUAUGCUUAUCAGAUUGAGGCAAGCUUUAUAGCGUUUCGAAGCUAAGAUAUAUACCUACAUUUCUUAUGACGACACCAACACCCAAUUCUCAUAUUUUCAGGGUCAAAAAUGGCCGGACAGAAACACAUCCUGCUUCACUCUGUCGGACAGCAACCACAAAAUUAAUCCAGUACCGUUACUUCAACUUUUGUCAAAAACUCUAUUCUUUCACUUGCUUAAAGCUCUAAAUACUUAAGGUAUAUUCAGUCCAGCAUAUACAAGGUGAGUAACUCAUAAUUUCAGCAUGUUGUUCGGCCAAAAUCACACACAAAAUCUGUCAUCAGCUGUUGCAUCAUUCAACGAAGUUUUCCAGCAGUAUAACAGUUCAACUUUGAUGUUUUCUCAAAUAUUUCCUUUCAGGUUCAUGCUCCAACUAGAAGUAUAAAACAUAUCUUAUCAAGCUACAAAGUAGCCUUAAACAGAACAUAUGAGGUUUACAACUAAAAUUCGAAGGAAGAUUGAUUAAAAGUCCUUUUCUCUCUCUCUCUCUCUCGGCCUUCCUAGCCAGUUCCAUCAGCUUUAAUCAAAAUUUCACCAUUAGUUUUUCCAUUAUGCUCUCAAAUCUAACUUGCAAUCAUAUUAAACAUUAGACAGAUCAUAAUACGUGAGUUCCAGUCACAAUUUAGCAAACGUUUUAGAGAAAUAACCAAAAUUGCAGCUUUUCCCUCUCGAUUUGCUGUGCAGAAAAUUCCAGCUUUUGAGAUUGCUUUAAAGUCAAUCUUUUCUUGCUUUUAGCUCCUCAAAUAACACACGGAUGACUGGAUUAGGAAGAUGGCAGUUAUAUGAAGUGAGUUUUUAACUAAACUAACAAAAUUUUCUAGAGAUAAAGCUGGAAAUUUCCAGCUUCAUCUUAUUGAUCCUUCAUGUAGUGUCCAAACAGAAAUUCAGCAAAGUUUCUUCAUAUUUUACACUCAUUCCACUUGAGUUCAGGUCAAGUACUGCACCCAUGUCAAGAUAUGUAUACUAUGGAAUAUAUAUAAUGCAUGAAGACAUAAUCUAACACAUUUUGAAGGAGAAUUGACUAAAAAAUUGCAGCUUUUUAUCAUCGGGUAGCAUGCAAUAACUUUGAACAGAAUUUUCCAGCUUUGAAGAACUUUUAUCGGUGAAUUCCUUCCUUUCUCAGUUCUAGUUCAUCCCAAGGAAUUAUUAACCAGGCAUAGCAGGAAAAUGAAGAAGAGCUUAAUUAAUUACCUAUUGUCUCUUCACGGUUUAGACUGGAACAAGAUUUCUGGUUUUCUUUUGUUUCCCUCUCUCGAUUCCUUGGUUAAAUGAGCUGGAGUUUCUCUUGUUUCUUGGCUGGUGUUCAUGGUUGGAGAAGGUAAGAGAGGUCUCCGUUUUUCCUUCUUGUUGUUUCUCGAUUUUAGGCAACAGGGGAAGUGAAUGGAACCCUCUCGGUCACCGCCCAACUAGUGCACAAAUGAAUUUCUUAGCUCCUCUCAUUCGGUCAUCACCUCACGUAGCAAAUAAAUGGGCAGCUGUCUUAACAGGUACCGCACAAUCUAGAAGCCAAUUCCUACUGGUUUUCUCCCUUCCACCGCUUGGACUCAGCAGAUAAUUUCUCUUUAUUGUCUCUCUUUCGGUCACUACUUAUUCAGCAAAUUUGGUGAUGCAUUCCUUCCUGGCAGCUGUCUCAACUCACCGCCCCAGUCUCAGUUAAUUUCUACACUUCACCGCUUAGACAAGUAGAUGGUUGCUGGCUUCUAUUCGGUUCCUAUCAAUUAAAUUUUUAUUCCUCUCUCGGUUUUGGUCUUCUGAAUUCUGAUAGCUUAUGCCUUGGCCACCUGGUAGUUAGUCUAAAAUUUAAGGUUAGUUUGGUCUUUUAACUGUAGCUUAUUUGCUCACAACGGCCUGAUUUGUUUAUUUAUUUUUUUAUGAGUUCAUGCAUGGACUCGUACCUUCAUUUGUAUUUUCGUGGAAAAAUUUUGACACCUUUAGCUUUAAGAAAAAUUAUUAGACAUGUACCGAUUGAACUUCUAGUAUAGUUUACGUGACUAGUUGUAUUUGUUUGCAAAUAACAUACAUUACAAUAUGCAUGCCAUAUAUGUAUUUAAUUCAUAAAAUUUUUCUAUACUAUUCUAGAAUCUUUUCUAAAUUCUCAAUUCUAUAGAGAUUCAAUUAGGCCGUUAAUUUAAUCAUUUAUUCGUUAUACAUAAUAUUCCCAAUAUCAAAGUAAAUAAAUGAAAUAAAUUCAGGGCAUACGUAAUUUUUUUUUCCUGGGUCUUCACAGAAGGUGGGGCCGUCACAAAAUGAUUAUUCGUAAAGAAACUUAUUUAAAAGUUGAAAUUACCCUUGUUUUGAAACUCAAAUGGCUGAAGCGAACAAAAUGCAUAAACAUAAUAUGUAUGACACUCUAACCCCAUAUGAUUUUAUAUUUUACCAUGAAACCCCUUAUGAUUUAAUGUUUUAUCAUAUAAAUCCCUUAUGGCUUUCACUAUAUAUACAUAACCCCCUUAUAGUUAAUAAAUAAUUUUCAACUUUAUAUAGGGUAUUUUUUAUAUUUUAAUUGAUUCCAUUAUGGAUUGUAAAUUUCGUUAAUUUGACACUUUAAUUCAGACAAUAAGAGAGUUAUGUAUAACUUUUGAAAUCAUAAGAAGAUUAUGUAAAAAAAAAUAUUAAAUCAUAGGGGAGUAAAAUGUAAUUUAACUGUGUGCAGCAUCCAGCCCCUCUGGCUGCUGUCACUGGAUUGGGAGGAAUAUAGUAUGAAAGGCUGCAUGCACCGUCCAGCGUCUCUACCACUGUGGGUCAUGACUUUAAUUUCUUCACGGGUAGACUUGUAGUUGCCAGACUCAACACGAAACAAAGUUUGUACCCAAUUUCGAACGCUAUAUGGGCACGUCGAGAUAUUGAAUGCUGUUCAUUUACGAUUGUUUUGGUUACUCCAAAAUUUAAACGUGCAUUUGAAAUUCAUUAAAUAUCUGUUUACUCUUCUUUUAGCUUCAACCUUUUUAUAUAUUCAAAACCACCAAAAUGUUUUGCUUAUAUUUAAAAAAAAAAAAAAAAAAAAAAGAGAAGAGUUUAUCAAGUCUCAUUGAACGUAUUAAACAAGGUUUUUACCACAAAAAAAAAAAAAGAAAUAUAGCUGGAUCCAUGCAAAUAUCUGUAAAGGCUUUGUAAAGUAUGUGGAUCCUAUUCUAUAAGUAAUUAAAUUUUUUUUUUUUGGGUUAUUCUUGGAAAUAGACUACUGCAACCAGUUACUAUUUAAGUGGUCCAUGGCAGUAACUCUGAUACAAAUUGACAAAUGAAUACAUAUUUUUCAGGAACUUCAAGUCAUUGUCAUUUUAUCAGCAAUUUUCUACAAGCAUUUAGAACCAUAGAUGAUGCUUUAUCAGACGACCAAUACCAAAGGAAUUGAAUACGCAUCUCCUUAAUACUACUUCAUCAUUAUUAGCUGAUUGAUUUGGUAGUAGUAUUCCUGUCACUUUUGAUGCAUUAAAUAAGCUUAUUAAUCAAUUGUCGCUUGCGAGAAAGCUUGAUAAAAAAAAAAAAAAAAAAAUCAUCUCCAAAAACAAGUUGGCUAUGACAGGAAUGGGAGAGGGGCAAUGACAAUCGUCAGUUGAAUCGUUUCGAAACGAUGUAAAAGGGAAUCAACAGGCAAGUUAUCAAAUAUUUGUGAUAAACUCUUAAAACACACAUGUUAUAUACUUAAACUCUGUUCACGACGACCCUACAAGUUAGUUGAGUUAGAGUUACAUAUAUCGUUAUCUAUCUCACCUUUACAACAUGAAUUUUUAUGUUAUUGGCAAAAUCUGAGUCAUGAACCUUCCGAAACGUUCGUCAGUUUCGUGACAACCAUUUAGUCCGACAAAGACACUUGUCUUGUUGUAAAGUGAACUAGAAAAAUUACCUCGCAGUAUAUUUCUUAGAAGAAUAGACUAAGUACCAUCCGUUAGCCAACCACAAGUAUAGCAAUUGAAUCAAUUAUCCUGACUGAUUCUUAGACUGUUUAUUCCAACAAAUUGCCGAAUAAUGAUAUUAUGAAGUAUGUAACUGCUUUAUGCUGCUGAUACAUGUUUUCAUCGAGUGAUAAAAUUUGUUAUGUAUUCUGUAGUUAUUGUUGUAAUGAUUUCCACGAAGACUUCAAGUCAUUGUGCCUGUUUCAAGUCAUCGUGAGCCAUUGUUCCGAACCAUAGAGGUUCUUGCGUGAAUAUGUUUGUACUGGAGAACGAAUGUGUAUCUAAUGAUGAAACAUAGGACAACUGAAAGAAAAAAUACUUAUAAACAACGCAUUGUUUAUUUAUUUAUCAUUUUCGUCUCCGGCAUUAACAAGCAGGAGUACAUUUGAUUUCACCCCUCCUUCAGCAGAUAGCGAUCGAGAGGAACUGAUCAGGCAGCACGAGCAUAG
This 10315-nucleotide long non-coding RNA is filed under the name Coffea arabica (coffee). RNAcentral describes it as "long non-coding RNA (CARA_LNC007300)". Lineage: Eukaryota; Viridiplantae; Streptophyta; Magnoliopsida; Gentianales; Rubiaceae. The record is from RNAcentral.